GGCUCCGUGGCGCAAUGGCAGCGCGUCUGACUCCAGAUCAGAAGGCUGGGUGUUCGAGUCACUCCGGGGUCA
This 72-nucleotide transfer RNA is filed under the name Penaeus vannamei (Pacific white shrimp). RNAcentral's name for it is "transfer RNA tryptophan (anticodon CCA)". It matches the Rfam family "tRNA". Rfam says of the family: Transfer RNA (tRNA) molecules are approximately 80 nucleotides in length. Their secondary structure includes four short double-helical elements and three loops (D, anti-codon, and T loops). Further hydrogen bonds mediate the characteristic L-shaped molecular structure. tRNAs have two regions of fundamental functional importance: the anti-codon, which is responsible for specific mRNA codon recognition, and the 3' end, to which the tRNAs corresponding amino acid is attached (by aminoacyl-tRNA synthetases). tRNAs cope with the degeneracy of the genetic code in two manners: having more than one tRNA (with a specific anti-codon) for a particular amino acid; and 'wobble' base-pairing, i.e. permitting non-standard base-pairing at the 3rd anti-codon position. Lineage: Eukaryota; Metazoa; Arthropoda; Malacostraca; Decapoda; Penaeidae. The record is from Rfam by way of RNAcentral.